This 1113-nucleotide long non-coding RNA is filed under the name Ovis aries (sheep). RNAcentral describes it as "lncRNA (ENSOARG00000025767.1)". The record is from RNAcentral. Lineage: Eukaryota; Metazoa; Chordata; Mammalia; Artiodactyla; Bovidae.
AUGAAUUUUAGUUCAGCUUUAAAGAUACCAAAAAUACAAAUAAAUCCCACUGUAUCUUUAAAAGUUAGUCUAAAAAGGAACAGUUUGGAUUAUACAGAAAGGUUUAUUAGUCAAUCUGAUCUUGUCAUCUGCAUUAUCAGAAAGGAAAACAAAAAAUAUUUCAAAAAAAGUAAAAUAAAUCAGAUUGUCAGUCUAUCAGUAUUCACAAGAAAUGGGCUUAUUUUCUCAAAUAAAGUCAACAUGUUAAAAAAGAUCCUGGGGCAAUACACCAGAUUAUACUCCAGUAUAAUCACUGAGACAAUUCAUUGAUCAGAUGUCUAAGUUGAGGAUUUGAAUAUUCUAACUCCAAAAUCUAAUAGUGAAGUCUGUUAUAUUACACAGAAAUAGCUUCAGGGAGCCUUUCGCACUCUGGGUUUUUUGCAUGUCCUCUAGUAAUUUAUCAUCUGUGAAUCUUGAGGGAUUGGCCUUGACUAGGAUUUGAAGUCUAGACUAUUAGUGUGAGUAAUGCUACAAGUGAGCAGCCGUGGACCUGAGAACAAUCAAGCUCAGUGGUGUGAAAUGUAGAGAAUCAAGAAGGCAGUCAUGCUCAGCUGAGUGAAGUGAAGCAAAAGCACAAAUACAAGUGCAACUGGGUCACAAACCUGAGGAAAUGAAGGGUGACCUCCACGGUUCCAGACCGCUUCCACGCAGUUUCCUUCAGCUCGGCCCAGAGAAGAAGAGCUCAAAUUAAAUCACACACCAGCAUCAGAUGUCAAGUGUCUCAGCUCCUAAUUACCAGGAAAAAAAAAAAGACAAAGAAAUAAGAGUCUACAAAGAGUCUGCAUAUUGAUAAGCUAUAUUCCUUGUUAAAAAUCAAGAUUUACCUAAGAAUAGGGCGGGUUUAUCGUCUGGAGUAAUAAUUCGUUAGUGGGCUCACAAUAUUAUUUAAUAAUCUUCACAAGGGCACAAUGGCUAACACAAAAUAUUGCUUCUUGAAGUGUUAAAAUAUUAAUAGUAAAACCAAAAAUACUCAAAGCAAAUACAAAACAAUAUGACUUCCUAAUUUCACUGAAAUGAAUGUAUUAUGUACAUGGCAGAUUGUCUUGGCAAAAAGAAUUUUUUUUCUUAUCACCC